CGGGAGGCAGCAGUGGGGAAUAUUGCACAAUGGGCGGAAGCCUGAUGCAGCAACGCCGCGUGAGGGAUGACGGCCUUCGGGUUGUAAACCUCUUUUAGCAGGGAAGAAGCGUGAGUGACGGUACCUGCAGAAAAAGCGCCGGCUAACUACGUGCCAGCAGCCGCGGUAAUACGUAGGGCGCAAGCGUUAUCCGGAAUUAUUGGGCGUAAAGAGCUCGUAGGCGGUUUGUCGCGUCUGCUGUGAAAUCCCGAGGCUCAACCUCGGGCCUGCAGUGGGUACGGGCAGACUAGAGUGCGGUAGGGGAGAUUGGAAUUCCUGGUGUAGCGGUGGAAUGCGCAGAUAUCAGGAGGAACACCGAUGGCGAAGGCAGAUCUCUGGGCCGUAACUGACGCUGAGGAGCGAAAGGGUGGGGAGCAAACAGGCUUAGAUACCCUGGUAGUCCACCCCGUAAACGUUGGGAACUAGUUGUGGGGUCCUUUCCACGGAUUCCGUGACGCAGCUAACGCAUUAAGUUCCCCGCCUGGGGAGUACGGCCGCAAGGCUAAAACUCAAAGGAAUUGACGGGGACCCGCACAAGCGGCGGAGCAUGCGGAUUAAUUCGAUGCAACGCGAAGAACCUUACCAAGGCUUGACAUACACGAGAACGGGCCAGAAAUGGUCAACUCUUUGGACACUCG
This 677-nucleotide ribosomal RNA is filed under the name Microbacterium kyungheense. Its description in RNAcentral is "bacterial SSU rRNA". It matches the Rfam family "Bacterial small subunit ribosomal RNA", at positions 342 to 1030 of the family's 1533-position model. Lineage: Bacteria; Bacillati; Actinomycetota; Actinomycetes; Micrococcales; Microbacteriaceae. The record is from RNAcentral.